GUGAGCGUGGCCAAGCGGUAAGGCGCCUGACUGUGGCUCAGGAGAUCGAGGGUUCGAAUCCCUUCGCUCACCCCA
RNAcentral lists this transfer RNA (75 nucleotides) under Chloroflexota bacterium. RNAcentral's name for it is "tRNA-His". It matches the Rfam family "tRNA". Rfam says of the family: Transfer RNA (tRNA) molecules are approximately 80 nucleotides in length. Their secondary structure includes four short double-helical elements and three loops (D, anti-codon, and T loops). Further hydrogen bonds mediate the characteristic L-shaped molecular structure. tRNAs have two regions of fundamental functional importance: the anti-codon, which is responsible for specific mRNA codon recognition, and the 3' end, to which the tRNAs corresponding amino acid is attached (by aminoacyl-tRNA synthetases). tRNAs cope with the degeneracy of the genetic code in two manners: having more than one tRNA (with a specific anti-codon) for a particular amino acid; and 'wobble' base-pairing, i.e. permitting non-standard base-pairing at the 3rd anti-codon position. Lineage: Bacteria; Bacillati; Chloroflexota. The record is from RNAcentral.